CGAGAGCUGUGAGAGAGAUGAGCUAGAGAAGGAGGGAGAACGAGAGAGAGAAAAGCUGCAGAGAGAGUUUCGAGAACCAGAGAGCUUAGAGGAGGUAGGGGUGCUUUGGCUGCUGUUUUGGGGGCUGGUGAUAGAGUAGCAGAGAGCUUGGAGAGUAGAGAGGAUUUUUUUUUGGAGGGGGAAGCUGUUACAGGGAGAGGAAGGCUGUUACAGAGUGAGGGGCGUCUGGGCUUGCUGUUUUUUUUAGAGAGAUAUUUUUUUCGGCUGUGAGGGAGGUUUGAGGUAGAAACAGAGAGGUGAUCUUCAAGCUACAGAGAGAGAGAGAGGUAUUUUCUGGAGGAGAUAUUUUUGAGGAGCUUUUGGGCUGGAUAGGCAAGUGAAGCUGAUGAGGGGAUUCUUUCAGAAAAGGUUUUGAGUUGGGCGUCUUCCAGAAAGGUGAUAAAAAAUAGAGUUUGAAGUCAGGCGAGCUUUCACUUGUGAGGGGGCUUUCCAGGUAUGGACUCUGCUCAUCAUCUUCUCCAUCUUGUUUUGGAUAUCAUUGAGCUUCCAUCUUGGUGUUUGAAUGUGUUUGCUAUGGAUUUCACUUGACUCAGCUUUGAAUUCUAACCUGUUUUGUGUCCUUUGUUUUGAGAUCUCUUAUGAGAUGUUGGCAUUCUCACAUUUGUUUUUGUUUUAAAACUCAUUUGAAAAAUCGUUUUGACCCCCUCCAUCAUCUGAGCUCAUUGAUUGAUAUGUGAAAUGAAGCUUGUAUGGAUUCAUUUGGUCCCCAUUGUUUGUGUUUUUCUUUGGUCAUCUUCCACUGUACCUGGUCCUCAUCCAUGGCAUGCACCUGAUUCAUCAUCUCCACGUUAAGAAGAUAUAUGAGAGCUGUCAGUGGGUCAUGCCGGGUCUAUUCUACCUCAGUGUGCUCUUAUUGGUUCAGAAUCACCAGUUUCUGGUUCGUUUAAUGGCCUCAGAAUGGCCACAGUAUUAAAUUGCAUCAUUGUGGUAUGGGAUGGCAAUGGAGAACUAAAAACAGAAGGAUUAUGGCGUUUUCAAUGCAUUGGAGGUCACGCGGAAUGAAAAUUUCCACAAAGAAUUGAAAGUUGGACCAGAGAAAGUGACAGAUGCCUCCAUCAUUGGCUCCUAUUGAUGCCGUGGAAAGGGUAUCCCUAGUACUGGGGGAGAUUGAUGCAAAUGCUGUAAUGUUUGGCCAACAAAUUAAUACCCAUUUGUCCUCAUUCAUGCAGGGUCAUCCAUGCAGGGUCAUCCAUGCAUAUCCAUCAAUUCCAUACCCAUCCAUCAUCACGCCCACCUUUCCACAUCCAUGUCAUACCCCUCGUGUCCACGCUGAUAUUCACCCCUUUUAGCCGCACCACCUUUUCUCUCACUAACCUCUACAUACCCAUUAAGCCACUCCACUAAACCCAUUUCACUCAACCCCAUACCAUCAUACCCGUCCCGUGAUCACAUCACCCAUCUCAUACCCAUUCCUCCCUCUAAAGCCAUACACUCAUCCCACUACCUUUUCUCUCUCUAUACCACCCUACACCCACGGCUGUAGCUCACCCCAUAUCUCCCGUCCCAUGCAUGCACCCAUGGCCAAUCUGUGCUACAUGAAUUCACGGCCAUCAAACCCAUUGCUCUCAUACCUAUAUUACCCACGUUUCUUACCUUCUCUCUCUACCCGGGGCCGCACUUCAUCCAUGACAUCCCGUGCCCUUCAUGUUCAUAUCCACCCCUCAUUCUCUGUAUUACCCACUUGUUGCCCAUUCUCUCUCUCACAUGCAUGAAGCCCUACCAUCCUACCAAAUAGCAGAGGAAGCCACAAACACUGUGAAAUCAACAGCCAAGAGCGCGCCUUCAAGGGUGAUACGUGGCGGCAGCUUGAUAACGAAGUAACUGACCUAGAAGACUUAGAAGGUCUCGGUUUCAUGCUGUUUUUGCGAGACAUACAGCCAUGGUAAUGGGAAGCGGAGCAGGCCAAGAAGAGGAGAAAAUUGAAGAAGGGUUUUGGGCAUGAAUCCUAAACUAGGAGCCACAAGGAAUAUGUCAAUAUCUGGGAGGAAAUAGAAGAAUCAUGUUCUGUUACCUCAUGAUAAGGGCCACUACUUAGAUUGAAAGCAAAGUUGAAGAUCUCUGAACGUGGCAAUGCGGAGAAUGAUGAGAUUAGUGAACAUGCUCUUCAAAAGGAACUGUCGCGGUGUGCUGAUGACGAAGCAGUUGGGCUUUCACAUGAGAUCUUAGCGAGCAUUGGGAUAUUGGUUGAUGGACUUACCUUGAGGUUACCAGAAAAUAGGAGAUGUCGAGGAGUCACCUCUCACCUGUGGGGAUAGGCAAAGAUGCCGCCUAUGCCAGCAGCAGCUCACUUAGUUCCUGUGGCUCUAGUUCUAGCAGUGAUGACUCCUCAUCCGAGUGAUUCUGUCAGUAUGGCUUAUGACGUGUAUCCAAUCCCAACAGUGAAUCCCUCUGAAGUGUCUUCCAAUGGAUCAGACGCUCCAUCUGUGGUCAUGGUCCUUUCAUAUGAACAUGACACCAAUCACGGUUCGCAAGCUGAACAACCUGAGUUCGGGUCCAUCGGAACUGCAGGUUUCUCAAGUAUGAACAAACAAGCUCUGCUGAAUGAGGGAGCAGAUGCGCAUGAGGGUUUUCCUCUGCUUUCUCCAUGCAUUCAGCUCUGAACCAGUUGGAAGCACUCCUCUCAGUUUAGCUAUCAAGCCUGCAGCACUAGAAGAAGUUAUUGAUGACCAUGCAUGACCAUGUUGACGAGUGCAUGGCCUCCUUGGACAUUCCAUUUUCUGAGCCUACAAGUGCAUGAGUUCUUCAACACUCCCAAACUGGUUAAGGGUGUUUUGUAUGAAAAUCUGGUAAUUUUGUAUGGAGCCUUGACUUUUGGCAGCAAUUGUCACUGCCUCCACCCCUUCUGCAUUUGGUUCAUCAAGCAAUGAGGAGCAUUUUUUUUAACUAAGCUGUAAAUGACGAGGAGGUGUCUUUAAUCAUUCAAUUUCAAGGACGUCCAGUUCCUUGAAAAAUCAUUAAUUCUCGUGGGUCCCUCAUCCAAGGACACUAUUGCUCUUUGUAUUACUAAUGGUGCACUUGUAGUGGUGGAUUGUGUUUGAGGGUGUUUGCGCCCAGACUGAAACUAUUCUACAGCAGGCCUAGGUGAAAGGAUCCACCUUGUUUUAACUAUCUAUAGGAUAGAUAAACGCUUUCUUGAGCUUCAGGUCAGUGGAGAAGGGGUGGACUUUUAGGUUUCAUGCAAAGAGGACUUGGAAGAUCCAGGGAUAGUCAAUCCAUAGGCAAGGCAAUAAUGCAGGCAGCCCAGAACUGUCAGAAGGAAAACUAAGUGAUCAUUUUCCACUCGUCAUAUGGUAAGCUGGCAGUGGCACUCCAAGUAACGUGAACGCCAAUGAGGCUAUUGCCAAUAGAGCAGUUGAGAUUCUUGGAGCAUUAUGUCUUUGAUUGAUCGGAAAAGAGAAGUCAAAAAGGAAUACAGAAAAUAUGAAAAGACGUGGGAACAAGAAGAGAGGGUUUUCAUGAAUCCAGUGAGUGACUGACACGACAAGGAUUCUAGCGCGAAAGUGGAGCAGCCAUGGUAUGCUGGGCUACUCACCAGUAAUGAUAGAGAAAUUCUCUUGGGGUAUAUAAAUCGAUGAAAGGAUGUCAGAUAUUGUCAUGUCUGCAGCCGCGUGGAUGAAUUGCGCUCCAGGACUGUUGUUAUAAUCUACAAAUACCAUGUAAGAGGGGGAACUAUCCUCCUUCUUUGUUACAAGGUGGCCUGCAUGUGGAUAGAAAUGGUCGAGUGUGAGAGCGAGGGAACCCUUGAGCCUGUCUAAGAGAGUUGCCAUGAAGUUUUGUGGAUCAUCCACAUCAGGUGGUUUGCUAAAGAGAAGGCCCUUUCGGAUAUAAUUGACGAAGAGCAUGGCCAGGUCCCAUGGUAUCAGGUAACAGGGCUCCUUGGUCUCUUCUGAAGUGAACUUUGGUUUAAUAAAUCAUUCUGAGAUGAGCCGCAACAGUCGGAGUUGCCAUUAGACCACUAGGGAGUUUCCUCUAUUCAGGGAAGCCAAGAGCUUAUCUUUAGCUUCUCCCACUCAUUCUUAAUGGGUGAAUCUGGCUAUAGCUGCAGAUGAGCAGGAUUGGCCAUUGCAUUCUUCAAUGAAAAUAAUUCGUCAUUGGCUCGGGCCUUGCUGAGCUAAUGCAAGAAUCAAACCAAGAAGUGCCUGCUUGGCUUUCAUGUUAUGCAACUCGGUCUUCUUAUGGCGGAGGUAGAAGUAACGGUGAGUAUGGAACUUCUGGCAGCAGUUAUGGUGGUGAAGAAUAUGACUGCAGGAUUGACUACAGGGAAGAAAAGCUACAGGAGACCAUACUUCCUAUAUUGGCCACCUAUGCAUGGCUCAUUUUUGGGCCACGUGCUUUCUCAUAUCAUUCCCUCUUCUUUGAUUUUGAAAAUAAAUUUCCUGAAUUCCACUUUGUGAAUAGUUGGACAAAUUCUGAUUUUUCAAAUAAUUCCAAUUUUCCCCUCUUUCAUCCUUAGAAUUUUUAGGAUCACCCGAGAAUCCCAUUUUUAUGUAAAAUUUGGUUGCCAUUUUCUUUCCGGUAAGCCACUUUUGCAUUUUCUUUGUUUUUAAAAUGUUUUAAAAAUAAGCAAGAAUUAAAUUCCGUAAUUCCGAGUGAUGGAAUUUAUGGAAUUAAUUCAUGCAAAAAUAAACGGGCUUUGGUGGGGGCCCGACAUAUGUGACUUCAUGAUUGAUUGACUGAUUGAUUGAUUUGACUGCCAUGCAUAAUUGAUUUAUUCUGAUCUAUGACAUGCAUGAGAUUAUUUCUUAACUGUGCUCUAACCCUAUUUCUUGAUAGUGCAUGGCGGCUCGUCACCUAGGUACGUGUCCACUCCCAUUCUUGUAAUUCUCUAUGCAUGUACUGAUUCUCAUAUGUGCGAUCAUGCUGAGUAUUCAUUGAUUUCCUCAUCAUUGCCACGUCGGCUUCAUUCUAUUAGUAGAGACCCGACAUUAGGGACUUAGAGGGGUGCUACGGUCCGUAUCGUACCUUCCCGAUAAGUAACCUGACCCCCGAACCUGAUCCGGUUUUCCACAGACCGCCUUUUCCAAAAUAAGGAGUCACACUUAGGGUUUUUCUUUCUUAUUUUGUUUACCCUUUAAAAAUAAAACAAAAAUAAGUGGCGACUCCAAGUCAUUUCUUUUUAAUAAAUAAAAAUCAUUUUCAAAUAAAAAUUGAGUUUCGCCAUCGAGUGGGAAACGCAUUCGAGCGAAUCGAAAUGCGGGGUCCACACCUUUACUUAACUAUUAUAUUGCUUAUUAUUACUUAUCAUUUUGUUUUGAGUUGAAUAUCUUUUUGUUUUUAUGUUUCCAUUUUUUAAUAAUAUUUUAUCUAAUAAUAUAUUUUAAUAAUAAAUUAUUAUAAAUAUAUAAAUUGUAAAAUUAAUUGAUUUUAUGUUUAUUAUUAUCUAUAUAAUAUUUAUAGAAGUAUAAACUGUGUUUAUCAUGUCAUAUUGAUUAAAAAAAUAUUUUGGUCUUUCUUCGAAUCUUAUCUUUCAAUUAAUUUAAUUAAUUAUUAUACAAAUAUAAUUAUAUUUUAUUUUAUCUUUUCUACUAUAAAUAAUAAAUAUUUUAAUUUUAAAAUUUAAUUUAUUAUUAUUUUUUCUUUCACCUCCACAUUACUUCAUAAUAUUAUUUUCAUAAUUUAAAACUCAGUGAAUUUUAUUUGCACUAGAUUUUUGCAGUCUUAUAAAAUCCGUUAUUGCUGCUACAACUUCAUCUAAUGGUGAGUAGAAGUUGUAGGAUGAUCAGAGUUGGGUGAAGCGAAGGUAUGAC
This 5807-nucleotide long non-coding RNA is filed under the name Vitis vinifera (wine grape). Its description in RNAcentral is "long non-coding RNA (VVIN_LNC001253)". Lineage: Eukaryota; Viridiplantae; Streptophyta; Magnoliopsida; Vitales; Vitaceae. The record is from RNAcentral.